RNAcentral lists this ribosomal RNA (374 nucleotides) under Clostridiales bacterium. RNAcentral's name for it is "bacterial SSU rRNA". It matches the Rfam family "Bacterial small subunit ribosomal RNA", at positions 1 to 355 of the family's 1533-position model. Lineage: Bacteria; Bacillati; Bacillota; Clostridia; Eubacteriales. The record is from RNAcentral.
UUUUUAGAGAGUUUGAUCCUGGCUCAGGAUGAACGCUGGCGGCGUGCUUAACACAUUCAAGUCGAACGAAGCAUUUUUGGGAAGUCCUUCGGGGCGGAAGAGAGAUGACUGAGUGGCGGACGGGUGAGUAACGCGUGAGCAAUCUGCCUAUGCGAGGGGAACAACAGCCGGAAACAGCUGCUAAUACCGCAUGACACAUCGGGUCCGCAUGGAGCUGAUGUCAAAGAAUAAAAUCGCGCAUAGAUGAGCUCGCGUCCCAUUAGAUAGUUGGUGAGGUAACGGCCCACCAAGUCGACGAUGGGUAGCCGGACUGAGAGGUUGGACGGCCACAUUGGAACUGAGAAACGGUCCAGACUCCUACGGGAGGCAGCAGU